GGGAUCGCUUACGGCCUUUGCUACGCUAUGCCACGCUUACAGCCUCUGCUCUUUCAGCGAACCAGUUUGUGUUCAGAGAGCAGGAAGAAAGCGUUGGAAAUGGAUCCAGUUCAAUUCACGUAUUGGAGAGAAAAACUGGACCGUCUUGACACUUCUCUCUCCAAUGACGCUGAAAUCUGCCAGCAACAACACCAUUAAAGGAAGCAAAAGGAAAUUCCAAGUGCUCUUCCAAGAUCAAGAAAGUUGACGUAGAGCUAUAGGCUCUUUCUGAGAUGUAUUUCACACGACUCAGCAUGGGCGAGCUUGGUUACAAUAAAUC
Long non-coding RNA from Dermacentor albipictus, 319 nucleotides. RefSeq lists it as uncharacterized. The record is from RefSeq and is a predicted model, not a curated record. Lineage: Eukaryota; Metazoa; Arthropoda; Arachnida; Ixodida; Ixodidae.